RNAcentral lists this ribosomal RNA (482 nucleotides) under uncultured bacterium. RNAcentral's name for it is "partial 16S ribosomal RNA". It matches the Rfam family "Bacterial small subunit ribosomal RNA", at positions 30 to 507 of the family's 1533-position model. The record is from RNAcentral.
AUUGAACGCUGGCGGCAUGCCUUACACAUGCAAGUCGAACGGUAACAGGUCUUCGGAUGCUGACGAGUGGCGAACGGGUGAGUAAUACAUCGGAACGUGCCCAGACGUGGGGGAUAACGAGGCGAAAGCUUUGCUAAUACCGCAUACGAUCUAAGGAUGACAGCAGGGGACCGCAAGGCCUUGUGCGUUUGGAGCGGCCGAUGGCAGAUUAGGUAGUUGGUGGGAUAAAAGCUUACCAAGCCGACGAUCUGUAGCUGGUCUGAGAGGACGACCAGCCACACUGGGACUGAGACACGGCCCAGACUCCUACGGGAGGCAGCAGUGGGGAAUUUUGGACAAUGGGCGAAAGCCUGAUCCAGCAAUGCCGCGUGCAGGAUGAAGGCCUUCGGGUUGUAAACUGCUUUUGUACGGAACGAAAAGGCUCUGGCUAAUACCUGGGGCACAUGACGGUACCGUAAGAAUAAGCACCGGCUAACUACGUG